AAAAUCUCCAGUGAUAAUGAGCCACGAUGUUACACAGAAGAUGGAUCGCUAUUGAAGUUGAAUAUAACAAUCACCUAUGGACAUGUUUGAUACGGUGAUGGCUUCGGCUGGCCAACUUUCAGCUGUCAGUGUGUAGCUCUUGAAGGUACUUUUAAUCUUCAAAUCAAUGGCUUAUUGAAUAUCAGAAUAAAGCAACAACGCACUUGUCUGCUGAUUGGCUGGACAAUCCAAUACCUUAGCUCCAGCAAAACAAGAACAGUGGUUGCUGCCUAGCUGGAUUCUGCUCUUGGAUGGAUAUUGGCUGCGGUUGCCUUCAACAAGGAGAACAUUGCAACAGUGCUGGACUGCUAUAUAUAUAUAUAUAUAUAUAUAUAUAUCCGCUGAAAUGCUGCUAGUUUUGUUACUGCAGGGUUACUAGCAGCAUUUUUAUUUGUGUUGCUGCAUAUCUCGGGGGUUUGUUCUCAAUAUGUACUGCUGGCACUUCUACCGAGUCAUGAAGUCCCAUUUCUGGUGCAAGGGCCCGGCCAGAGGAGUCAAUGUUUUGCUCCUUUCACUGCGAUUCUGCAUUCCAUUGUGCCUGCCAUACUUGAGGUGGAUCCCAGUUUCAGUUAUGUUUCUACUGCAUUGCUACUUCUGAUAUUGGCGUUGCAGUCCUGUUGCCGCAACUGAUGCUGCUGCUGGUUCUGCUGUGUUUCUUUGGUUAGAUCUUUGGGUUGUUUUGCCCUUCUCUUGCAUUUUCAGUACUCUGAUAGAUAGCUGUUAGAUGCGAACUGCAAUUUUCUUUUCUUUUUUGUUGGUUCUGCUACAUUGUAAAUUCUUUGUCAUUAAUAAAAUUCUAUGAUUUUCUUUUCCAUCAAC
Molecule: long non-coding RNA, 858 nt
Organism: Populus trichocarpa (black cottonwood)
Lineage: Eukaryota; Viridiplantae; Streptophyta; Magnoliopsida; Malpighiales; Salicaceae
Exons: 2
Source: RefSeq, a predicted model, not a curated record